RNAcentral lists this long non-coding RNA (2344 nucleotides) under Homo sapiens (human). Its description in RNAcentral is "novel transcript". The record is from RNAcentral. Lineage: Eukaryota; Metazoa; Chordata; Mammalia; Primates; Hominidae.
CUCCACUUCUGUUCCUCCCCGCCCUGGUGCUGCUCCGGGUCACAUACUCGUCCUGAGCCGGCUUCAGCCUCUCCGCGCAGAAGUCUCCCGGAGCCGACUUCUGAGAGUCGAGUACUCCUAUGUGAAGACUACCAAGCUCGUGUUCAAGGGAACCAAGGCGAAGAGGCGAGAUGGAAAGAAAGUAUCAAGGAGUGAGCUGAAGCCACUGCCCUUGAGAACCCUCUCGAGGAGUCUGGGCUCAUGAGGAUGCCAGAAUAAGUGGCAGGUAUAUCCUGAAUGAAUGUGAGAUUUUUACUCUGUGAAUUUCCUGUGAGGAGUGUAAGAAGAAAAAGAACAAAGAUAAGAAAAGAAAAAGAGAAGAAGAUGAAGAAACCCAGCUUGAUAUGUUGGAAUCUGGUGGACAGUAACAAACUUUGGUGAAAUUUCAGGAACCAUAGCCAUUGAAAUGGAUGAGGGAACCUAUAUACAUGCACUCGAUAAUGGUCUUUUUACCCUGGGAGCUCCACACAAAGAAGUUGAUGAGGGCCCUAGUCCUCCAGAGCAGUUUUCGGCUGUCAAAUUAUCUGAUUCCAGAAUCACCCUGAAAUCUGGCUAUGGAAAAUAUCUUGGUAUAAAUUCAGAUGAACUUGUUGUUGGGCGUUCAGAUGCAAUUGGACCAAGAGAACAAUGGGAACCAGUCUUUAAAAUUGGGAAAAUGGCUUUGUCGACCUCAAAUAGCUGCUUUAUUAGAUACAGUGAAGCAGAGGACAUAGAAGCAAAAAGUAAAACAGCAGGAGAAGAAGAAAUGAUCAAGAGUCUCAGUCAUAGCCUGCCUUCAUCUCUGAAGGGACCAGGCGACCCACGGAGUGCCUCGGCAGCCUUGUUAUUGCAUGCAAUCUUCACAGACAAGAUCUCACUGCAACCAGGUUUCUACAGGAGCACAGGUGUGACAUUAUAGUGAUGACAUCAUUCUCAGAGAAAAUUCAUUUUACGCACUAAGGACACACAGAUACAAGGAGGCUUACACAAAGGGAAUGGACCUUUCCACAACACAGAUGUGCAAGGCCCUGCCACUUUGCUUCAAUUCCUGAAAAUUCCUUGGUAAACAUGGAGCUACUCUAUUCCUGACACUUUCAAGAAAUAGUUAUUGAUCCUCUCAGCGUCCACAAUGUUAAUACAAGCCCAACAUUCUUUAAUUUGUGUUUUGUUUUUUGGAGGCACAGUCUUGCUCUGUCACCCAGGCUGGUAUGAAGUGGCACGAUUUCAGCUCACUGCAGCCUCGACCUCCUGAGCUCUAGCAAUUCUCCCAUCUCGGCCUUCCAAGUAGCUAGGACUGCAGGUGUGUGCCACCACACUCAGCUAAUUUUGUUUAUUUUUUUGUAGAGAAAACGUCUCGCUAUGUUACCCAGACUGGUCUCAAACUCCUGGGCUGAAGCGAUCCUCUUACCUCGGCCUCCCAAAGUUCUGGGAUUACAGGUGUCAGCCACUGUUCCCAGCCCUUUAAUUCUUUACUUGGGGUUCAGGUGACAACAUAUUUCUUAUUUACAAAUCUUACUUAAUCUCACUGAUGCUUUCUGUCAUUGGCUAACUGAUCCACCUUGAAUGAAGCCUCCUCCAACAAGUCUGGAAUCUGUCCAAAUCUAAAUUAACAGGUGCGCCUAUGAAUUCCCUCAGAGAACACACUGUGGAUGCUUUAGCAACCUCUUACCAUGCCUCCUGAAGUAUCUGGAUUGCAUAUGGUGGCCAUAAGUAGUCCAUGGGCUUCUGAUGUAAAAAACAAACCUGCCCCUUUUCACUGUGUUCUGUACAGCAUCAGGGCAGUUAUUGCUGACCACAUACUGGACCCUCUGGAAACAGAGGGCUCUGCAUCCAUGUCCACGAGCCUUCAUGCCCAUCUGGCCAUCAGGCCUUGGGAAGCAGCACCCCACAGCCUUGGCACAGCUACAGAGACCUCCUUGCCUCAGGAUGGAGUCAAACCUGGACCCCCUGCCAUUCUCAUCUGCAGGAAACACUGGCCUCCUUCAUCCUCAGGCUGUGUUGCUGGAAGUCACCCAUCUCCGAGGCCCCUUGGGAUCGACUGAGUGACCAGCAGUGAAGUUCAUCCACCUUCUGAAUGGAUGCCAUCAUCUGAAGUGAUGGAGCUCAGUGGGAUGUUGUUGCGGUCUUCCCUCCCUUAGCCAGGAUGUCCCUGAUAAAGGAUGACACCCAAGCCUCAGCACAACUGGCCAAACUUGAGGUGGUCAUCUCAGCACUGAUGCUGGGCCAACAAUUAGCCCCAUUUGUACAUUUUUACAAAUUUUUGGCAAUUGCCAAGAAUUAUCCACCUUCCCUCCCCAUUGAAUUAAAGAAACUUCUUGCCUCAUGG